This is a long non-coding RNA of Acanthochromis polyacanthus (spiny chromis), 1012 nucleotides long. RefSeq lists it as uncharacterized. The record is from RefSeq and is a predicted model, not a curated record. The transcript is spliced from 4 exons. NCBI's taxonomy places the organism in Eukaryota, Metazoa, Chordata, Actinopteri, Pomacentridae.
ACCACACCUUCCUCAUCAGCAGGGUAUUAUGUGCUUUUAUUUUGAAAGCAGAAACAUUUCCUAGCAUUUACCUGCAUUAAAUUCAUGAGAUGAAUCAGACAGGUGACAAGAUGAUCAACUCCAGCACUCUUUGAACUGCUCACAACUCAUGACAUACACAUGUGAUGGUGAGGGCCUCAUGACUUUUUUCAUUUUCUUAUUUUUUGCUGACACAAGCCAAAAACUCUGGGUACCACUAGCCCAGGUUAUUGGAUUGGGUUUCUCUUUUCGAUCCACACGAGCCUCCUGAGAAUCUGUGAAUACCCUCAAAGCAGCGCUUCACACCGAAAGGAACGAUACAGCUGUGACUGUUGGCGUCAUGUUCUUUCAAGCAGUAGAUGCAAUAAUUGCACUACUUCACCCAGUAAUCCUGACCGCAAUGGUCUCAUUAUAUUUCAUUGGAUACUCCAUGAUGAAGAAUUAUCGUUCUUCAGGAGACAUCACCAAGAUGAUUAUUGGCAUGAUUACGCUGAACAUCCUUUGCUUGCUCAGACUGCAUAUUACGGUAGCUCUGGGAUUUGGUGCUCUUGUGAUAGUCUUCCUCUGUAAUAUGCCUGUGCAGAGGAAUCAGGAAGAAAGAAGACACGAAAGUCGGAUGGCGCUGAUGUCCAGGGCUGAACUGGAACAAAAAUACCCUCGCAUUUUUGGCCUCAGAUAGGCAUACAACAUGACUGAUUGACUGAAUCAAGCACAAUUUUUGAAUUUAAGGACACAAUCUGACAGAAAGAGUGGAUUUUCAGAACAAAAACAUCUUUAGAAGCAAACUUGUUGACAAGUUGGAAAAAAUUGCAAUCCAGCAGAGCAGGGGUAUAGGGUACAGUCAGAGAAAAUUAAUUCAAGCAAAGGUUCAGAACAUCACAAUAUCUAACUGAAUUAGUGUUGUAUAUGUUGAUGUAACCUAGUAGAUGUAUUAAUGUCUGCAUGUAUUCAAUCCUGACCGUCAAAUCAAAUAAAUUCAGUACGGUUCAAAACA